AACGAACGCUGGCGGCAGGCUUAACACAUGCAAGUCGAACGCCCGUAGCAAUACGGGAGUGGCGGACGGGUGAGUAACGCGUGGGAACGUGCCCUGAGGUACGGAAUAACUGCGGGAAACUGCAGCUAAUACCGUAUGAGCCCCGCAAGGGGGAAAGAUUUAUCGCCUUAGGAGCGGCCCGCGUCGGAUUAGCUAGUUGGUGGGGUAACGGCCUACCAAGGCUUCGAUCCGUAGCUGGUCUGAGAGGACGAUCAGCCACACUGGGACUGAGACACGGCCCAGACUCCUACGGGAGGCAGCAGUGGGGAAUCUUGCGCAAUGGGGGCAACCCUGACGCAGCCAUGCCGCGUGAACGAUGAAGGCCUUAGGGUUGUAAAGUUCUUUUGCCCGUGACGAUGAUGACGGUAACGGGAGAAUAAGCUCCGGCUAACUUCGUGCCAGCCGCCGCCGUAAAAC
This 456-nucleotide ribosomal RNA is filed under the name uncultured bacterium. RNAcentral describes it as "bacterial SSU rRNA". It matches the Rfam family "Bacterial small subunit ribosomal RNA", at positions 29 to 526 of the family's 1533-position model. The record is from RNAcentral.